UGGAGAAUCUUCCCACUGAACCCAGGCAAACAUGGUGGUCUGCCCAACAGUCUCCAUAACACAGCAAUUGAUAUGAUCCGAAUUUCCAGAGAUAUUUCCAGAGAUAUAUCAGACAAAGAAAAAGUGGCACAAGAAAAAUCAAAGUGCACAAUUCUCUUCUGAAGCUUGGGGUCAACCUUGCUAUGUUAAAGGUCAUAGGCUGUUUAUGGAGAGAAAAUAAUCCACGCCUCCAAGCGGAGGUAAAAUAAAAGCGGAGACGAGAAUUACGAGGGGGCUCCGAAAUUGAACUCUGGUCUCACCGUGUCUCACUGUGUCGUGAUAUCUACAUCUGGUGACCUCGACGUGAUUCAGAACAAACACCCUCGUACCCACUGGCAGGAUCAGCCAACGGUGCACCUCAGCGUACAGCUCCCAUUCGUAGCUGCAGUACUGGCAGAAGUGACCAGGGAGAAACCGGUUCCGGCAUUUUCAGCAGUCGGAGUCUCUACCUGCCCCGCGGGUGCAGUUUCGGCAACUACCAAAUCCAGAGUGGAAAGGCCCAGUUCCGCUUAUAACGUGGGGUCGAGGUUACGCGGCUGUGUCUACGCCUGACGGUCCUGUGUGGGUACCUGCUAGGUGUAUCCGGCCCUGGAAAGACGAUGUCCUGGCACGAUAAUCUUAAGAAUCCCAUCCCUAAUUUUUCUCUGCAACUUCAGGAUACUGGGAUGUCUUCCAGGAAGCGUGGUCGGAAUGUUCCGCAACCUCCCGUGACUUGGGGCCAAAUAAAGAACUUAGCAACACAAGCAGAAAAAGCAAUGGAACAAGCCGGGGUGGACAAGACAACUGAGAAUACCAUUCUUGCUUUAAUUGCGUCUUUAAAUACAAAUUCUAUUUUUGUACUUUGCAUUUGUUGGAUUUUAGGAAGCGCCGGGGCUGACAGGUUGGGGCAGGAGUUGGGGAUGCGGUUUCAACACAAUAUCUGGGUUCAGUUAGCAAGAAUGACAAAUGUGAGUGACUUUUGCAUGACUGAACAUGUACAGGAAAUGGGUAUGUUGGGAACAUGUUUAAUACCCGUAUGCAAAGCACCUGGGGAUAUUGGGAACAUUACAGGACUUGGGCGGUUCAUGAAUACUUCAGAGAUUAAAUAUCAUACUGUUUCGAAUUGGGGAACUCCAACCUUCCAGCUGCCUGUUAAUGCUUUUCAAUUAUUUACAUCACAUGUUGCAAAUUCCAUUAAUAAUA
This is a long non-coding RNA of Rhineura floridana, 1221 nucleotides long. RefSeq lists it as uncharacterized. The record is from RefSeq and is a predicted model, not a curated record. The transcript is spliced from 5 exons. NCBI's taxonomy places the organism in Eukaryota, Metazoa, Chordata, Lepidosauria, Squamata, Rhineuridae.